CGCAAUGUGAUUUCUGCCCA
Molecule: small RNA, 20 nt
Filed under: Arabidopsis thaliana (thale cress)
Lineage: Eukaryota; Viridiplantae; Streptophyta; Magnoliopsida; Brassicales; Brassicaceae
Description: AGO1_5129
Source: RNAcentral